UGGGGAAUAUUGCACAAUGGGCGCAAGCCUGAUGCAGCCAUGCCGCGUGUGUGAAGAAGGCCUUCGGGUUGUAAAGCACUUUCAGCGGGGAGGAAGGCGAUAAGGUUAAUAACCUUGUCGAUUGACGUUACCCGCAGAAGAAGCACCGGCUAACUCCGUGCCAGCAGCCGCGGUAAUACGGAGGGUGCAAGCGUUAAUCGGAAUUACUGGGCGUAAAGCGCACGCAGGCGGUCUGUCAAGUCGGAUGUGAAAUCCCCGGGCUCAACCUGGGAACUGCAUUCGAAACUGGCAGGCUAGAGUCUAGUAGAGGGGGGUAGAAUUCCAGGUGUAGCGGUGAAAUGCGUAGAGAUCUGGAGGAAUACCGGUGGCGAAGGCGGCCCCCUGGACAAAGACUGACGCUCAGGUGCGAAAGCGUGGGGAGCAAACAGG
RNAcentral lists this ribosomal RNA (429 nucleotides) under Chloroflexota bacterium. Its description in RNAcentral is "Chloroflexi bacterium partial 16S ribosomal RNA". It matches the Rfam family "Bacterial small subunit ribosomal RNA", at positions 355 to 776 of the family's 1533-position model. Lineage: Bacteria; Bacillati; Chloroflexota. The record is from RNAcentral.